This 114-nucleotide ribosomal RNA is filed under the name Akanthomyces lecanii RCEF 1005. The record is from RNAcentral. Lineage: Eukaryota; Fungi; Ascomycota; Sordariomycetes; Hypocreales; Cordycipitaceae.
ACAUACGACCACAGGCAGUAGAGAAUACCGCGUCCCGUUUGCUCCGCAGCUGUCAAGCUACUGACGCAGAUUAGUAGUUGGGUGACGACCAGCGAACACCGGCUGUUGUAUGUU